AUCCAGCUGACGAGUCCGAAAUAAGACGAAACAUAAGUCCUGGAU
Molecule: non-coding RNA, 45 nt
Organism: Schistosoma mansoni
Lineage: Eukaryota; Metazoa; Platyhelminthes; Trematoda; Strigeidida; Schistosomatidae
Source: Rfam